ACCGUGCUAAGGUAGCAUAAUAAUUUGCCUUUUAAUUGGAGGCUGGCAUGAACGGAUAAACGAGAAUAAAGCUGUCUCAAAAGAAGCCAUAAAAAUUAAGUUUUAGGUGAAGACGCCUAAAUUACCCUAAAGGACAAAAAGACCCUGUUGAGCUUAACCCUCUACAAACCUAUAAACUUUGUUCAGGUUUAGUUGGGGCGACUAAUGGAGAAACAAAGCUCCUUUACAACAAAGACCUCGUGUCACCACUAAUGACCUGCUUAAGCAAUCAAUAGAAAAGCUACCACAGGGAUAACAGACUAAUCCUCCUCAAGAGCCCAAAUUGACAGGAGGGCUUGGCACCUCG
RNAcentral lists this ribosomal RNA (346 nucleotides) under Augeneria sp. NHM 4590. RNAcentral's name for it is "partial large subunit ribosomal RNA". It matches the Rfam family "Bacterial large subunit ribosomal RNA", at positions 1945 to 2528 of the family's 2925-position model. Lineage: Eukaryota; Metazoa; Annelida; Polychaeta; Eunicida; Lumbrineridae. The record is from RNAcentral.